Dunckerocampus dactyliophorus (ringed pipefish) is the source of this 1934-nucleotide long non-coding RNA. RefSeq lists it as uncharacterized. The record is from RefSeq and is a predicted model, not a curated record. The transcript has 4 exons. NCBI's taxonomy places the organism in Eukaryota, Metazoa, Chordata, Actinopteri, Syngnathiformes, Syngnathidae.
AGAGCAUACCGAUACCAGCCCGUACUACGAUCAGCUCGCCGCUAUACAUUUAUGGGCCACACACAGAUUGACGUAUUAUCCAACAACAACAGCAACAAAAGAGGAAGGUAAAUCACAUAAAAUAUUUAGUUAUUUGUUAUCGUAGUCCGUGGCACGUCAUUUUAGUUUGCUAAAAGCUGCAUUAAGCUAAUUCUAAUGCUGACUGGUGGACAGGCUGAUGCUAAAGCUAGGUACCUGUCCUUAGACAUAGAUCGACGCCGCAUCGAGUGGGUUUGUCCACUCAACGUCAACGUCAACGUCUCCGCCAUAUUGGAUGGGUCAAUUGACCCAUUAACAACUGUGCUGUUAAUGAAUACAAGUCAAUAUAGUUACUUUCAUAAAGCGCUGCUCGAUGCUGUCCACACCAAAACAAGGACAAAUCACUGAAAUGGAGUGUAGAGCUUCGCUUUUGUCCUUUGUCACCCACUCUUUACAACUGGGUGCACUCACCUGGCAGCAGCAUCAGCAUCGCCGUGGCAGCCAGCAGAGCGGUGACCAGUGUGGCGGAGAAACUUGUCAUCCUCGGUCCGGCCAUGACUUGACUCUUCUCUUGUCCUGCCAGGAAAGACAAAGUCAAAGGACUUUGACUAGCACAGAAGUCAAAAAUGACCCAAAACUUCACCGUGAACUUGACCCACUUAUGUAAAAAUAGCUGAACUUCUUACCUGUGGUUGCCUUGGCGACAAGUCUCACUGCGGAUCCAGCUGGGGGAUUCUGAGGGACCGGGAGGAUGACUGAUGGUCCACCUGUGCUCAAUGUGUGUGUGUGGCUAGACUCCCUGAGACAAACUGCUGUGACGGACGGAAUGGAGCCAGGUUUUAAACAAGGCCCAUCAUCAUUGACACACAACAGUGAAGCGAAGUGACAUCUCACGGCUUUCACCUUCUGAGGAAGAAGACUUGCACGUGGUGUGUUCAGGUGCAGCCAUACGUGUGGGAGAGAGAGGAUCUACGUCAGAGACAUGAGAAGCUAAUGAGGGGAGCCGAGGUACCACAUAAGCACUUCUCGGAGGCCGUUGCCAGCACCAAAACCACAAACACAGCUUAUGGCAUAAUGUGAGUGUGUACACACACACACAUACACACACACAGGGAGACAGCUGGUCUCCACAUGAGGAAUCUGCUAAUCUUCAGCUUCCUGCACACUUUGACUGUUGGGGCAUGUUGGCCUUGUAAGACAGAGUUGGACAGUUUGGCUGUGUGAAAUGCUGCGACAUGAUGCCAUGUGAGCGCACUGUGACUAGACUGGCCUGAAGGUAAGGUAAACAAGAUAUUGGGAUUUAGAAAAGUGUCGGAAAUUAAAGUUAUCGAGCAUUAUUAUUUUUCGUUGCUAUUUUUGUUGUUUGGGUCGUGAGAAGUUCGUGGCAGUCGGGUUUGAAGUUUGCCAAGCACUUGAAUCAAUGGACGCAUUGAGCCAACGAAAGAAAAACAAGUUUGUUUUGAAACCAUCUCUGCUGUGUCACGCUGCUGAUCAAAUUCGAGUCUUUGGGUUCUGUUUCUCUGGUUACAGAAUAACAACAUGCCUAGUGUGUAUGCAAAUGUGUGGGUGCAUCUUAUAAACCUACACGUGCAGCUGUCGCAACACAAGAGCAGCAUUGUAUGCAGCAAAAAGCGAUUCAACCUAUAAACCUUGUUUUUUUUUCCUAUUCAUAUCAUCCUUCCUGUUGCAUCAUGCCUCCUUCACCAGGCAUUUAGUGGCCCGUUUUACCGCAGGUAUGUCGUACAGUAUGUAAUUACGUUUUCUAACAGGUGUUUCGCACUGCCAGCAAACCUGCAAUCCAAGACGCCGGCAGAUUGGAACACGAUGCCGCCAAAAGCAUACUCAUAAUUUUCUCCAAAGCUGGAAUGUGAGCAAACCUCAGAAUUUGCAAGCCAAACACCUGGUUCUACGCCGCU